GAAAGGCGCUUUCGGGUGUCGCUGAUGGAUGGACCCGCGGUGCAUUAGCUAGUUGGUGAGGUAACGGCUCACCAAGGCGACGAUGCAUAGCCGACCUGAGAGGGUGAUCGGCCACAUUGGGACUGAGACACGGCCCAAACUCCUACGGGAGGCAGCAGUAGGGAAUCUUCGGCAAUGGACGAAAGUCUGACCGAGCAACGCCGCGUGAGUGAAGAAGGUUUUCGGAUCGUAAAACUCUGUUGUUAGAGAAGAACAAGGAUGAGAGUAACUGUUCAUCCCUUGACGGUAUCUAACCAGAAAGCCACGGCUAACUACGUGCCAGCAGCCGCGGUAAUACGUAGGUGGCAAGCGUUGUCCGGAUUUAUUGGGCGUAAAGUGAGCGCAGGCGGUUUCUUAAGUCUGAUGUGAAAGCCCCCGGCUCAACCGGGGAGGGUCAUUGGAAACUGGGAGACUUGAGUGCAGAAGAGGAGAGUGGAAUUCCAUGUGUAGCGGUGAAAUGCGUAGAUAUAUGGAGGAACACCAGUGGCGAAGGCGGCUCUCUGGUCUGUAACUGACGCUGAGGCUCGAAAGCGUGGGGAGCAAACAGGAUUAGAUACCCUGGUAGUCCACGCCGUAAACGAUGAGUGCUAAGUGUUGGAGGGUUUCCGCCCUUCAGUGCUGC
This 661-nucleotide ribosomal RNA is filed under the name uncultured bacterium. RNAcentral describes it as "bacterial SSU rRNA". It matches the Rfam family "Bacterial small subunit ribosomal RNA", at positions 202 to 849 of the family's 1533-position model. The record is from RNAcentral.